Non-coding RNA from Felis catus (domestic cat), 62 nucleotides. Lineage: Eukaryota; Metazoa; Chordata; Mammalia; Carnivora; Felidae. The record is from Rfam.
GGGAAACGAGGUCGGGGCUGGGGAGGUGAGGCCCCCCAAGUCCUCCUCGGCAAAUAGGCUCA